GUGCACUAAUUUUACGAUUUAAGUACAUGUGAUAAGUGAAAAAAAGAAAAUAACGUAAAAAUUAAAAGAAUUAAAAUUAUUUAUUAAAAUAAGAAAUAAAAAAAAAUAGAAUGAUGCAUAUAAAAAUUGAAACAGAAAGGAGGUAUGUUAAAAAUAAGAAAAAGGUGAUAAAUUAAAAGAGAAGAAGAUCUACUUUGAAACUUGAAAGGGUUAGGUUUUGGGAGAAACACCAAUCCACUUCCAGGUAAAUCUUCUCUUCCCACUUUUCUUAGAUUUCAAUUUGAUUCGAUUCUCUUUUUGUUCUCUCUUUACAUCAAUCUACCUGUCCUCUAAUCUUGCCAAUUCCCGAUUCAAUAUUUUCUUGAUUUGUUUCUUGUCUCCGACUCAUCAUUUAUUCUCUAUCCGUUCUUGUGUAUUUCAAUUUUAUUGUAUAUUUGUUAUGUUUGCACGAUUAAUUGUUUGUCAUCGUUGAGAGAAAGGGUCUACGUUAAGCCUCUUCCUUAAUUAAAUUCGAAAUUUCAGUUCUUAAUUUUGUAGAGUUAGAAGAAAUCAACGAUGCCUUGCUAUGAUGAUAAAUAUGGUAGUACCCGUCUCUAUGUUGGACGCUGGUCUUUGAGGACUCGUUCCCGUGAUCUGGAGUGUGUCUUUAGCAGAUAUGGAAGCCUCUUCGAUUCAUCUAUAUUGAGUACAUUGACAAGGAGCUGGGAUGUUUUAUGCUGAAAGUUGGGGGAUGAUAUACAGGUUUUUUCCGAGCUUUCUUUUGAACUUGGAUUUAUAUUGGUUAUUUGUCAUGUUAUGCGUGAGAACCAAAUUGUCUAAGUGUCAUGUUUUAACUUGAACGAUCUUGUUGAAGGUUUUGGGGUUUUGGCUAAACUUGGAGGUCUUUGUUGGAAGGUUGGCCUUGGUAGAAUUGAUGGAAAUUCCUAUCAAGUGUUGACUUUGGCGAUUUUUUCUGUAAUGUUAUUACAUGUUUUUUUUUUAUGGAAAUGACAACAAUCACAAACUGGUGUUUAGUUCCUCUUUGUGGGACGAUGUAUCAUAUAGUUCCAGUAAUUAAGUAAUGAUGGCCAUUCUAUUUCUGGAAACCAUUUCUAGAGAGUUGGAGAUGUGGAUAUGAAUUAUGAAGCAUGAUUUCACCUUUGUUGGAAGUUGCCACCUUUUCGUUGUCUUUGUUUAUUUAUUUUGCUUUUCAAUUUCUCCUCAUGCUUUUGCUACAAGGUGGUUUUUAACAUAUGCUCGGAGGAAUUCAGUUGUAAAUGAUGGUAAGAUUUUUUGUGUUACUUUAUUGGCAUGUUCCUGACAUCUUUUGAACAUGAAUUUAGCAGGUCACGUUCUCCUCGUCGUGGCUGAAGCAGGGAUAGAAGCUACAGAAGAGAACGAAGGCCAGUUUGAGAGGAUAGAUGACAGUCCUAAAGCCUCCAAGAUAAGGAAGCACAGACCAAAGCAGCCCACAGACAUAUCCUGGUAAUCAUAGGUUGCUCACUCGGCAGCAGCAAGACAGGUCUGACUACAGUGAUGGUCCUAGAGGGACCCUGACGAGGGCGGCUUUGAUAGCCCUAAAGCUAAUGGGCCUAGCCGUAGCCCAAAGGAUGAUGAUAGGAGCCCCAUUGAUGAGGAUGAUGACAACCACCGCCACUCACAGUCACCUUAAUGAAGUCAGGACGUGGAUGUGGCCCAAUUUGUAUCCUGCUUUGUUUAUAAAAUGCACUGCAGCUUAAUUUUGUGACAAUUGCUUAUGAAGAACGAUUUUAUGUGUGCUAUUUUUCAGAUUCUUUCUGGUCAAGCAACAUGUGUGGCUUGGCUUACCUAGAAUAUGAAGUGCAUGAAUUUAUUUCAACUGUUGCCAUAAUUUAAACCAAUAGGAAUUAUUGUGAGAAAUUUAAUUCUGGCAUGUUUUGAAUC
This is a long non-coding RNA of Cajanus cajan (pigeon pea), 1902 nucleotides long. RefSeq lists it as uncharacterized. The record is from RefSeq and is a predicted model, not a curated record. Lineage: Eukaryota; Viridiplantae; Streptophyta; Magnoliopsida; Fabales; Fabaceae.